UGCUGAACCAGUUCCACAUGCUGGUUUAAGACCACCAAUGCAGGCUGAUGGAUCAAUGCAAUGCAAUGCAAUCAGAAUGUUGGAGGCUGUACUUUAGAAAAUUCAAAUGCUAAUCAUGUCAGUAGCCAAGAAGCAGCAGAAACCACUGGAGAGGUACUUACUGCCUUCCUCUUGCAUCUUUGUUUUUUGUAUCUAGGAUUGUAUUUCUUGUCAUUUUAUUUUGUAUCUCUUCAUUGUGUUGCUAGUUAUCUAUUUUUUCUGUGGAAAGAGCUCUCUUAUUACUACGAUUCUUUUAUACCAUUUUCACUCAAAACUAGCUCAAAUCUAGAUAAAUUUGUAUGAGAUGUUUGUACAUCGUCUAAGAAUUUCAAAGCACUCUAUAUUUUUGACUGAAUUUUGUAGCCAUUGUCUAAAAAAAUGUAUAGUGCCUUAAAAUGAAUCCCCACCUUCUAUUCUUUUGUCAACUCCUUUAUGCAGAUGUAUUUUAAGCAGUAAUUUUUUAUAGAGUUGGCUAGCAAGUUUCUUUUGAUGAAUGCUAGGUUGACAACAAGGACAAGACGCUUUUGGAUUCCAGAGAGAAGCUUGACUACUAUCGAAC
Molecule: long non-coding RNA, 598 nt
Filed under: Salvia miltiorrhiza (redroot sage)
Lineage: Eukaryota; Viridiplantae; Streptophyta; Magnoliopsida; Lamiales; Lamiaceae
Description: long non-coding RNA (SMIL_LNC004651)
Source: RNAcentral